CUGGCGGCGUGCCUAAUACAUGCAAGUCGAGCGAACGGACGAGAAGCUUGCUUCUCUGAUGUUAGCGGCGGACGGGUGAGUAACACGUGGAUAACCUACCUAUAAGACUGGGAUAACUUCGGGAAACCGGAGCUAAUACCGGAUAAUAUUUUGAACCGCAUGGUUCAAAAGUGAAAGACGGUCUUGCUGUCACUUAUAGAUGGAUCCGCGCUGCAUUAGCUAGUUGGUAAGGUAACGGCUUACCAAGGCAACGAUGCAUAGCCGACCUGAGAGGGUGAUCGGCCACACUGGAACUGAGACACGGUCCAGACUCCUACGGGAGGCAGCAGUAGGGAAUCUUCCGCAACGGGCGAAAGCCUGACGGAGCAACGCCGCGUGAGUGAUGAAGGUCUUCGGAUCGUAAAACUCUGUUAUUAGGGAAGAACAUAUGUGUAAGUAACUGUGCACAUCUUGACGGUACCUAAUCAGAAAGCCACGGCUAACUACGUGCCAGCAGCCGCGGUAAUACGUAGGUGGCAAGCGUUAUCCGGAAUUAUUGGGCGUAAAGCGCGCGUAGGCGGUUUUUUAAGUCUGAUGUGAAAGCCCACGGCUCAACCGUGGAGGGUCAUUGGAAACUGGAAAACUUGAGUGCAGAAGAGGAAAGUGGAAUUCCAUGUGUAGCGGUGAAAUGCGCAGAGAUAUGGAGGAACACCAGUGGCGAAGGCGACUUUCUGGUCUGUAACUGACGCUGAUGUGCGGAAGCGU
RNAcentral lists this ribosomal RNA (744 nucleotides) under uncultured bacterium. RNAcentral describes it as "bacterial SSU rRNA". It matches the Rfam family "Bacterial small subunit ribosomal RNA", at positions 36 to 762 of the family's 1533-position model. The record is from RNAcentral.